This 305-nucleotide ribosomal RNA is filed under the name uncultured bacterium. RNAcentral describes it as "bacterial SSU rRNA". It matches the Rfam family "Bacterial small subunit ribosomal RNA", at positions 333 to 635 of the family's 1533-position model. The record is from RNAcentral.
GGGCGCCUACGGGGGGCAGCAGUGAGGAAUAUUGGUCAAUGGGCUUACGCCUGAACCAGCCAAGUCGCGUGAGGGAAGACUGCCCUAUGGGUUGUAAACCUCUUUUGUCAGGGAGCAAUUGGCGCUACGUGUAGCGUUAUCGAGAGUACCUGAAGAAAAAGCAUCGGCUAACUCCGUGCCAGCAGCCGCGGUAAUACGGAGGAUGCGAGCGUUAUCCGGAUUUAUUGGGUUUAAAGGGUGGGUAGGCGGUCCGGAAAGUCAGCGGUAAAAGCCCGGGGCUCAACCCCGGCGAGCCGUUGAAACUG